AUGGCUGUUGCACGGGCCACGUACCAUCGCCGCCGUGCAGCAGAUGAGGCCGGCGAGAUCAGCGCCUACGACAUCUCGGCACCGGAAUCGCCGGCGACCAUUGCAUCGCAGCUCUCAGAGCCGCUGGCAACUGCUGCAACGCAGCACCGGGAGCCACCGGAGGGCUCCUCCAUAACAACACCGAGCGCGACGUCUCCGGCGAAGCUCCAUUGCAUCUCCGGUGAAAAGCUUCAUUGCAGCUCCGGUGAAGCUUCAUUGCAGCCCCGGCGGAGUCCGUUCCGACCCCAUCGCUGCUUCAACGACCGGGCGGAGCUCCAAUGCAGCCAUGGGUGGCGCUUCAUGGCAACACCGAGCGCGACGUCUCCGGCGAAGCUUCAUUGCAGCUCCGGCGAAAGCUUCAUUGCAGCCUCGGCGGAGUCCGUGCCAACCCCAUCGCAGCUCCAACGACCGGGCGGCGCUCCAUGGCAGCCAUGGGUGGCGCUCCAAUGCAACCUCGACGGCGUGAAAAUAAGCUCCAACACAGCACCUCCUUCGUGCGGCGUUGCAGCACCGGCGGCGAGCAGCGCCCGCCUACGGUCUUCCUGCUGCGAUGCAACAGCGGUAGCGGCGCUAUGGCCCGUGCACCCAUGGCGAGCAGGAAACUGCUGCUUCCAGCUCGCAACAAUGGUGGUGCGCCCCCAUGGCGAGGAGCACACAGCUAGUGGUCGCGUUUACCCCUUGCUUGUAGCAACAACUCCGGGCAGGGUGCAGCUGGUGGUGGUGGUGGUCGUCCAUCCCGGUUGGUGGUUGGCGUCGCCAUGGGCAUCUCUCCCUCUCAGAUGCAACGGAAGAGGUGGGGAGAGGAAAGAAGAUGAGGGGGGAAACGUGUGGAGAGGGAGACGAAGG
RNAcentral lists this ribosomal RNA (885 nucleotides) under Triticum aestivum (bread wheat). Its description in RNAcentral is "partial small subunit ribosomal RNA". The record is from RNAcentral. Lineage: Eukaryota; Viridiplantae; Streptophyta; Magnoliopsida; Poales; Poaceae.